GCUGUCGUCAGCUCGUGUCGUGAGAUGUUGGGUUAAGUCCCGUAACGAGCGCAACCCUUGUCCUUAGUUACCAGCACGUUAUGGUGGGAACUCUAAGGAGACUGCCGGUGACAAACCGGAGGAAGGUGGGGAUGACGUCAAGUCAUCAUGGCCCUUACGGCCAGGGCUACACACGUGCUACAAUGGUCGGUACAAAGGGUUGCCAAGCCGCGAGGUGGAGCUAAUCCCAUAAAACCGAUCGUAGUCCGGAUCGCAGUCUGCAACUCGACUGCGUGAAGUCGGAAUCGCUAGUAAUCGUGAAUCAGAAUGUCACGGUGAAUACGUUCCCGGGCCUUGUACACACCGCCCGUCACACCAUGGGAGUGGGUUGCACCAGAAGUAGCUAGUCUAACCUUCGGGAGGACGGUUACCACGGUGUGAUUCAUGACUGGGGUGAAGUCGUAACAAGGUAGCCGUAGGGGAACCUGCGGCUGGAUCACCUCCUUA
RNAcentral lists this ribosomal RNA (486 nucleotides) under Pseudomonas sp. G34. RNAcentral's name for it is "bacterial SSU rRNA". It matches the Rfam family "Bacterial small subunit ribosomal RNA", at positions 1048 to 1533 of the family's 1533-position model. The record is from RNAcentral. Lineage: Bacteria; Pseudomonadati; Pseudomonadota; Gammaproteobacteria; Pseudomonadales; Pseudomonadaceae.